Molecule: microRNA precursor, 115 nt
Filed under: Hordeum vulgare
Lineage: Eukaryota; Viridiplantae; Streptophyta; Magnoliopsida; Poales; Poaceae
Description: microRNA MIR1122
Rfam family: MIR1120/MIR1122 microRNA precursor family
Source: RNAcentral
UUUGUACUCCCUCCGUCCGGAAAUACUUGUCGUGGAAAUGGAUGUAUCUAGAUGUAUUUUAGUUCUAGAUACAUCCAUUUGUAUGACAAGUAAUUCCGGACAGAGGGAGUAUUUU